CCUACGGGAGGCAGCAGUGGGGAAUAUUGCACAAUGGGGGGAACCCUGAUGCAGCGACGCCGCGUGGGUGAAGGAGUCUUUCGGUAUGUAAAGCCCUAUCAGCAGGGGAGAAAAAUGACAGUACCUGACUAAGAAGCACCGACUAAAUACGUGCCAGCCGCCGCGGUAAUACGUGGGUGCAAGCGUUAUCCGGAUUUACCGGGUGUAAAGGGAGCGCAGGCGGAGCGUUAAGCCUGGUGUGAAAGCCCGGGGCUCAACCGAGGGGCUGCGUUGGGAACUGGCGCGCUUGAGUGCCGGAGGGGUAGGCGGAAUUCCUAGUGUAGCGGUGAAAUGCGUAGAGAUUAGGAGGAACACCAGUGGCGAAGGCGGCCUACUGGACGGUGACUGACGCUGAGGCUCGAAAGCGUGGGGAGCAAACAGGAUUAGAUACCCUAGUAGUC
Molecule: ribosomal RNA, 440 nt
Filed under: uncultured bacterium
Lineage: Bacteria
Description: partial 16S ribosomal RNA
Rfam family: Bacterial small subunit ribosomal RNA
Source: RNAcentral